UAAUACAUGCAAGUCGAACGGACUGUGGUAAUUAUGAUUAAAGAGCUUGCUCGGAGAGAUUAAUUACAAUGCAGUCAGUGGCGAACGGGUGAGUAACACGUGGGAAACCUACCUCUUAGCAGGGGAUAACAUUUGGAAACAGAUGCUAAUACCGUAUAACAAUUAGAACCGCAUGGUUCAAGUUUAAAAGAUGGUUCUGCUAUCACUAAGAGAUGGUCCCGCGGCGUAUUAGCUAGAUGGUGAGGUAAUGGCUCACCAUGGCAAUGAUACGUAGCCGAGUUGAGAGACUGAUCGGCCACAUUGGGACUGAGACACGGCCCAAACUCCUACGGGAGGCAGCAGUAGGGAAUCUUUCACAAUGGACGAAAGUCUGAUGGAGCACCGCCGCGUGGGUGAUGAAGCUUUCGGGUCGUAAACACUGUUAUAAGAAGAGACGUCAGUGAAAGUACUGUUCAUUGAGUGACGUAUCUUAUCAAAGGACGGCUAAUACUGCCAGCACCCGGUAUACGAUGUCCAGCGUAUCCGAUUUAUUGGGCGUAAACGAGCGCAGGCGGUUAUUUAAGUCUGAUGUGAAAGCCUACGGCUCAACCGUAGAAUUGCAUCGGAAACUGGAUAACUUGAGUGCAGUAGAGGAGAGUGGAACUCCAUGUGUAGCGGUGAAAUGCGUAGAUAUAUGGAAGAACACCAGUGGCGAAGGCGGCUCUCUGGACUGUAACUGACGCUGAGGCUCGAAAGUGUGGGUAGCAAACGGGAUUAGAUACCCCGGUAGUCCACACCGUAAACGAUGAAUGCUAGUUGUUAGAGGGUUUCCGCCCUUUAGUGACGCAGCUAACGCAUUAAGCAUUCCGCCUGGGGAGUACGAUCGCAAGAUUGAAACUCAAAGGAAUUGACGGGGGCCCGCACAAGCGGUGGAGCAUGUGGUUUAAUUCGAAGCAACGCGAAGAACCUUACCAGGUCUUGACAUCCCUUGACAAUCCUAGAGAUAGGACGUUCCCUUCGGGGACAAGGUGACAGGUGGUGCAUGGUUGUCGUCAGCUCGUGUCGUGAGAUGUUGGGUUAAGUCCCGCAACGAGCGCAACCCUUAUUACUAGUUGCCAGCAUUAAGUUGGGCACUCUAGUGAGACUGCCGGUGACAAACCGGAGGAAGGUGGGGAUGACGUCAAAUCAUCAUGCCCCUUAUGACCUGGGCUACACACGUGCUACAAUGGAUGGUACAACGAGUCGCAAAGUCGCGAGGCUAAGCUAAUCUCUUAAAGCCAUUCUCAGUUCGGAUUGUAGUCUGCAACUCGACUACAUGAAGUCGGAAUCGCUAGUAAUCGCGGAUCAGCACGCCGCGGUGAAUACGUUCCCGGGCCUUGUACACACCGCCCGUCACACCAUGAGAGUUUGUAACACCCAAAGUCGGUGGGGUAACCUUCGGGAGCCAGCCGCCUAAGGUGGGAUAGAUGAUUAGGGUGAAGUCGUAACAAGGUAGCCGUAGGAGAACC
RNAcentral lists this ribosomal RNA (1487 nucleotides) under uncultured compost bacterium. Its description in RNAcentral is "bacterial SSU rRNA". It matches the Rfam family "Bacterial small subunit ribosomal RNA". The record is from RNAcentral.